GAAAUGCGAUAAGUAAUGUGAAUUGCAGAAUUCCGUGAAUCAUCGAAUCUUUGAACGCACAUUGCGCCCUCUGGUAUUCCGGGGGGCAUGCCUGUCCGAGCGUCAUUGCGAACCCCUCAAGCACGGUUUGUGUGAUGGGCCCUCCCGCGUCUUAGUCGUCAAGACGGGCCCGAAAAGCAGUGGCGGCUUCGCGGUUAUCCGAUCAGCCAGAGCGUAUGGGGACUUUCUCUCUGUCACACGCCCGCGGCGCGGACCGACGCCUGUCGACCUUUAUUCAUCUUUUUCUCGGUUGACCUCGGAUCAGGUAGGGAUACCCGCUGAACUUAAGC
This 329-nucleotide unclassified non-coding RNA is filed under the name plant metagenome. RNAcentral's name for it is "partial contains 5.8S ribosomal RNA, internal transcribed spacer 2, and large subunit ribosomal RNA". The stretch from base 1 to 105 matches the Rfam family "5.8S ribosomal RNA", at positions 50 to 154 of the family's 154-position model. The record is from RNAcentral.